This 486-nucleotide long non-coding RNA is filed under the name Mytilus galloprovincialis (Mediterranean mussel). The record is from RNAcentral. Lineage: Eukaryota; Metazoa; Mollusca; Bivalvia; Mytilida; Mytilidae.
UGUUCUUCUCAUAUAUUUUAUGAUAGUAUAAUACUAAACCCCUAACGGGAGGGAUUGUGCCUGAUAUUCAUAUGAUGAAGACAUAAUCUUUCAAUCAGUUUAAUUUGAGGUCUGGAGCUGGCAUGUCAGUUAACUGCUAGUAGUCUGUUGUUAUUUAUGUAUUAUUGUCAUUUUAUUUAUUUUCUUUUGUUACAUCUUUUGACAUCGGACUCGGACUUCUCUUAAACUGAAUUUUAACGUGCGUAUUGUUAUGCGUUUACUUUUCUACAUUGGCUAGAGGUAUAGGGGGAGGGUUGAGAUUUCAUAAACAUGUUUAACACCGCCGCAAUUUUGCGCCUGUCCCAAGUCAGGAGCCUCUGGCCUUUGUUAGUCUUGUAUGAUUUUUAAUUUUAGUUUCUUGUGUAUAAUUCGGAGUUUAGUAUGACGUCCAUUAUCACUGUACUAGUCUACAUAUUUUUAGGGGCAAGCUGAAGGUCACCUACGGGU